This 466-nucleotide ribosomal RNA is filed under the name uncultured bacterium. RNAcentral describes it as "bacterial SSU rRNA". It matches the Rfam family "Bacterial small subunit ribosomal RNA", at positions 335 to 799 of the family's 1533-position model. The record is from RNAcentral.
ACUCCUACGGGAGGCAGCAGUGGGAAUAUUGCACAAUGGGCGCAAGCCUGAUGCAGCCAUGCCGCGUGUGUGAAGAAGGCCUUCGGGUUGUAAAGCACUUUCAGUCGUGAGGAAGGUAGUGUAGUUAACACCUGCAUUAUUUGACGUUACCUACAGAAGAAGCACCGGCUAACUCCGUGCCAGCAGCCGCGGUAAUACGGAGGGAGCGAGCGUUAAUCGGAAUUACUGGGCGUAAAGCGCACGUAGGCGGCUUUGUAAGUCGGAUGUGAAAGCCCGGCUGACUAGGCAUGGAUGCUGUACUGCAGAGCUAGAGUAUGGUAGAGGGAAGUGGAAUUUCCGGUGUAGCGGUGAAAUGCGUAGAUAUCGGAAGGAACACCGGUGGCGAAGGCGACUUCCUGGGCCAAUACUGACGCUGAGGUGCGAAAGCGUGGGUAGCAAACAGGAUUAGAUACCCUGGUAGGCUCUG